RNAcentral lists this ribosomal RNA (447 nucleotides) under Stygocapitella sp. 423_09. RNAcentral describes it as "partial large subunit ribosomal RNA". It matches the Rfam family "Bacterial large subunit ribosomal RNA", at positions 1811 to 2616 of the family's 2925-position model. The record is from RNAcentral. Lineage: Eukaryota; Metazoa; Annelida; Polychaeta; Parergodrilidae.
AAACAUAGCCUAUAAACCCCUUUAGGUAUAACCCUGCCCUCUGAAUUUUAACAGCCGCGGUAUCCUAACCGUGCUAAGGUAGCAUAAUCACUUGCCUAUUAAUUAUAGGCUAGCAUGAAUGGGAUCACUGUCUUAAAAUUAUUUUCAUUAUAAUUUAAAUUAGAUUUUAAGUUAAAAUACUAAAUUCAAAAGAAAGACAAAAAGACCCUGAAAACUAUUAACAAAUUAGUUGGGGCAACUAUAGACUACAGUAGCGUCUAUUAACUAUAAAUAAUUAAAAUACAUAGUUCUCAGUUACUUCAGGGAUAACAGACUAAUUUUAUUAUUUAGAUCUUAUAAAUAAUAAAGAUUGGCACCUCGAUGUUGGCUUAUAUUUCCUUCCUAUAGUAACAUAUAAUGAUGGCAGCUUGUUCAUCUGUUAAACAUUUACAUGAGCUGAGUUCAGAC